This 83-nucleotide transfer RNA is filed under the name Nanobdellota archaeon. Its description in RNAcentral is "tRNA-Ser". It matches the Rfam family "tRNA". From Rfam's summary of the family: Transfer RNA (tRNA) molecules are approximately 80 nucleotides in length. Their secondary structure includes four short double-helical elements and three loops (D, anti-codon, and T loops). The record is from RNAcentral. Lineage: Archaea; Nanobdellati; Nanobdellota. RNAcentral also lists the same sequence under 1 other name.
GCUGCGGUCGCAUAACCUGGUAUUGCGCCAGCUUGGAAAGCUGGUUCCUUCGGGAAUUCCCGGUUCGAAUCCGGGCCGCAGCG